CACGUAGGGGGCGAGCGUUGUCCGGAUUUAUUGGGCGUAAAGAGCUCGUAGGCGGUUUCGUAAGUCGGAUGUGAAAACUCCAGGCUCAACUUGGAGACGCCAUUCGAUACUGCGAUGACUUGAGUCCGGUAGGGGAGUGUGGAAUUCCUGGUGUAGCGGUGAAAUGCGCAGAUAUCAGGAGGAACACCAAUGGCGAAGGCAGCUCGCUGGGACGUGACUGACGCUGAGACGCGAAAGCGUGGGGAGCAAACAGG
Molecule: ribosomal RNA, 254 nt
Filed under: uncultured bacterium
Lineage: Bacteria
Description: partial 16S ribosomal RNA
Rfam family: Bacterial small subunit ribosomal RNA
Source: RNAcentral